CUACCAUGGCCUCUGUGGUUCUCAUGCUUAGUAGCUAUUCCAUCUCUCUUCCAAUGCCAUCGGCACCUCCAUUGUCUAUGCAUUCCAUCAGGGAGAGAGAAACGAAGUCGAAGUCAUCAUCCUUCUCUAAUCAAUCUAAAAGAGAAACCGUCCAAGUCUCUGUCAAUUAGGCUUUGUUUUCUGAACUAGAUCGUCAUUGAAGUUUGAAGAUGGUACUUUGUACUUCCAUAACAUAUUUUCUCUUACAUGGUAAUCAUAAGUAGAUCCAAUUCUGAGGGAUGGCUCGAGAAGUGAAAUAACGAGAUGUAUCCAGCUUGGGUUGCGUUGUGUUCAAGAAGAUACUGCUUAUAGACCAACCAUGGCCUCUGCGGUUCUCAUGCUUAGUAGCUAUUCCAUCUCUCUUCCAAUGCCAUCGGCACCUCCAUUGUCUAUGCAUUCCAUCAGGGAGAGAGAAACGAAGUCGAAGUCAUCAUCCUUCUCUAAUCAAUCUAAAAGAGAAACCGUCCAAGUCUCUGUCAAUUAGGCUUUGGUUUCUGAACUAGAUCGUCAUUGAAGUUUGA
RNAcentral lists this long non-coding RNA (560 nucleotides) under Gossypium barbadense (sea-island cotton). RNAcentral's name for it is "long non-coding RNA (GBAR_LNC017194)". Lineage: Eukaryota; Viridiplantae; Streptophyta; Magnoliopsida; Malvales; Malvaceae. The record is from RNAcentral.